GCCCUGAAGGGCGUAUGGUGGAUGCCUUGGCAGACAGUACCGAUGAAGGACGUUUGAGGAUGCGAUAAGCCUCGGGGAGCCUCCAACAUGGCUUCGAUCCGAGGAUUUCCGAAUGGGGCAACCCGCCGGCCGUCAUGGGCCGGCACGGGACCUUUGGGUUCCGGGGGUACGCAGGGAAGUGAAACAUCUCAGUACCUGCAGGAAGGGAUACUCCGUGAGUAGUGGCGAGCGAAAGCGGAUCAGACCAAACCAUGGGCGCGUGAUACCCGUCGGGGGUUGCGUUCGUGGUGUUGCGGGAGCGUGUGUCCCGGUUCCGACGGACCGGGCGGGAGUCAUAAAACGGCUUGCCAGGGGAACAGGCUUGAAGGCCUGGCCGCAGAGGGUGCCAGCCCCGUACCUGGAAGCUUGCCGUCUUCCGAUCAUGUGUCCCAAGUAGCGCGGGCCUCGUGGAAUCCCGUGUGAAUCGGCCCCGACCGUGGGGUAAGUCUAAGCAUACCUGUCUGACCGAUAGCGUACCAGUACCGUGAGGGAAAGGUGAAAAGCACCCCGGGAGGGGAGUGAAAGAGUUCCUGAAACCGUGCGCCUACAAUCCGUCGGAGCCUCCUUGUGGGGUGACGGCGUGCCUAUCGAAAAAUGAGUCUGCGAGUCAGUGGUGCGUGGCGAGGCUAACCCGUGGUGGGGGAGCCGUAGCGAAGGCGAGUCUCAAAAGGCGUUUUGAGUCGCGCGCCCUGGACCCGAAGCGGGAUGAUCUAGCCCUGGGCAGGUUGAAGCGCGGGUAAGACCGCGUGGAGGACCGAACCCACCUGGGUUGAAAACCGGGGGGAUGACCUGGGGCUAGGGGUGAAAGGCCAAUCAAAUUCCGUGAUAGCUGGUUCUCUCCGAAAUGCAUUUAGGUGCAGCGUCGGUUGAUUGCAUCGCGGGGGUAGAGCUACUGGAUGCUUGCGGGCCCGUGUCGGGUACCAAUAGCAGCCAAACUCCGAAUACCGUGGAUGUGUAUUCCGGCAGUGAGUCGGCGGGGGAUAAGCUCCGUCGUCGAGAGGGAGACAGCCCAGAUCGUCGUCUAAGGUCCCGAAGCGUGUGCUAAGUGGGAAAGGAUGUGGAGUCGCAUAGACAGCCAGGAGGUUGGCUCAGAAGCAGCCAUCCUUGAAAGAGUGCGUAACAGCUCACUGGUCUAGUGGUUCCGCGCCGACAAUGUAGCGGGGCUCAAGCACACCACCGAAGACGCGGCAGCGGCCUUUGUGGCCNNNNNNNNNNUGGUUCCGCGCCGACAAUGUAGCGGGGCUCAAGCACACCACCGAAGACGCGGCAACAGUUUUUGCUGUUGGGUAGGAGAGCGUCCCGCGUGGGGCGAAGCGGCCGGGGAACCGUGCCGUGGACCGCGCGGGAGUGAGAAUGCAGACAUGAGUAGCGAGAGACGGGUGAGGAUCCCGUCCGCUGGAUGACCAAGGGUUCCGGGGCCACGUUCGUCGUCCCCGGGUGAGUCGGGUCCUAAGGCGAGGCCGACAGGCGUAGUCGAAUGGAUGAACGGGUGGAUAUUCCCGUACCGGCGGCGUACCGUAAGAGCCGAACGGAUGAGUACUAACCUCCGGUCGCGUGGCGUCGUUCCCUUCGGGGUUCGGGGCGCGUGGCUGUUGGGAGCGUAGUCCUGGUAGGCUAGCGCACAGGGGUGACACGGAAUGGGAGCCGGCCGCGGAGGUGGUUUUCCGUGGUCAAGCACGCAGCCCGUCCCAUAGGCAAAUCCGUGGGACGCAUAGGGUGAGGUGUGAUGAUGGGCGUCCUUUGGACGCGAUAUCCGGUGGUCCAGGCCGUCGAGAAAAGCCUCGGCGCGAGGGGCGUCGCCGCCCGUACCCCAAACCGACACUGGUGGUCAGGUAGAGAAUACCAAGGCGAUCGAGCGAAUCCUGGUCAAGGAACUCGGCAAAUCACUCCCGUGCCUUCGGUAUAAGGGAGACCCCCGGGCGUGAAGAGGCUUGCCCUCGGAGCGUUGGGGGGUGGCACAGACCAGGGGGUAGCGACUGUUUACCAAAAACACAGGUGCAUGCGAAGGCGCAAGCCGCUGUAUAUGCACUGACGCCUGCCCGGUGCCGGAAGGUUAAGAGGAUCCGUCAGCCCCUUUUGGGGUGAAGCGGUGAAUUCAAGCCCCGGUAAACGGCGGUGGUAACUAUAACCAUCCUAAGGUAGCGAAAUUCCUUGUCGGGUAAGUUCCGACCUGCACGAAUGGCGUAACGACUUCCCCACUGUCUCGACCAGGAGCUCGGCGAAAUUGCAGUACGAGUAAAGAUGCUCGUUAAGCGCAGAAGGACGAAAAGACCCCGGGACCUUUACUAUACCUUGGUAUUGGCGUUAGGCGCGGAUUGUGUAGCAUAGGCGGGAGGCUUCGAAGCAUGGGCGCCAGCCCGUGUGGAGCCGCAAGGUGAAAUACCGCUCUGUUCUCGUUUGACGUCUAACCUCGAACAGUCAUCCUGUUCAGGGACAGUGCCUGGCGGGUAGUUUAACUGGGGCGGUUGCCUCCCAAAGAGUAACGGAGGCGCUCAAAGGUCCGCUCAGCCCGGUUGGCAAUCGGGUUUCGAGUGUAAUCGCACAAGCGGGCUUGACUGCGAGAACGACGGUUCGGGCAGGGACGAAAGUCGGAGAUAGUGAUCCGGUGCCGGCGCACGGGCGCGGCAUCGCUCAACGGAUAAAAGGUACCCCGGGGAUAACAGGCUGAUCAUUCCCAAGAGUCCAUAUCGACGGGAUGGUUUGGCACCUCGAUGUCGGCUCGUCGCAUCCUGGGGCUGGAGCAGGUCCCAAGGGUUCGGCUGUUCGCCGAUUAAAGCGGCACGCGAGCUGGGUUCAGAACGUCGUGAGACAGUUUGGUCUCUAUCCUCUGCGCUCGUUGGAAUCCUGAGGAGGCCUGCCCAUAGUACGAGAGGACCUGGGUGGACGGACCUCUGGUAUGCCGGUUGUCGCGCCAGCGGCAUGGCCGGUUGGCUACGUUCGGGAGGGAUAACCGCUGAAAGCAUCUAAGCGGGAAGCCUGCUCCAAGAUUAGGAUUCCUUGACGCUCCCCGGAGCGUUUGUAGCCCGCAUGUUGAACACGUGUUCGAUAGGCCGGAGGUGGAAGCCCCGCGAGGGGUGGAGCCGACCGGUACUAACGGGCGAACGCGGCA
RNAcentral lists this ribosomal RNA (3148 nucleotides) under Bifidobacterium pseudocatenulatum. Its description in RNAcentral is "bacterial LSU rRNA". It matches the Rfam family "Bacterial large subunit ribosomal RNA". Lineage: Bacteria; Bacillati; Actinomycetota; Actinomycetes; Bifidobacteriales; Bifidobacteriaceae. The record is from RNAcentral.